RNAcentral lists this ribosomal RNA (459 nucleotides) under uncultured Weissella sp. RNAcentral describes it as "partial 16S ribosomal RNA". It matches the Rfam family "Bacterial small subunit ribosomal RNA", at positions 341 to 792 of the family's 1533-position model. The record is from RNAcentral. Lineage: Bacteria; Bacillati; Bacillota; Bacilli; Lactobacillales; Lactobacillaceae.
ACGGAAGGCAGCAGUAGGGAAUCUUCCACAAUGGGCGAAAGCCUGAUGCAGCAACGUCGCGUGUGUGAUGAAGGGUUUCGGCUCGUAAAACACUGUUGUAAGAGAAGAAUGACAUUGAGAGUAACUGUUCAAUGUGUGACGGUAUCUUACCAGAAAGGAACGGCUAAAUACGUGCCAGCAGCCGCGGUAAUACGUAUGUUCCAAGCGUUAUCCGGAUUUAUUGGGCGUAAGGCGAGCGCAGACGGUUAUUUAAGUCUGAAGUGAAAGCCCUCAGCUCAACUGAGGAAUUGCUUUGGAAACUGGAUGACUUGAGUGCAGUAGAGGAAAGUGGAACUCCAUGUGUAGCGGUGAAAUGCGUAGAUAUAUGGAAGAACACCAGUGGCGAAGGCGGCUUUCUGGACUGUAACUGACGUUGAGGCUCGAAAGUGUGGGUAGCAAACAGGAUUAGAUACCCUGGUA